This 220-nucleotide long non-coding RNA is filed under the name Elaeis guineensis (African oil palm). Its description in RNAcentral is "long non-coding RNA (EGUI_LNC004495)". Lineage: Eukaryota; Viridiplantae; Streptophyta; Magnoliopsida; Arecales; Arecaceae. The record is from RNAcentral.
CCUCCAUAUGAUCACUUUGAGAUCCGUACAGACGGAUGAAUAUUCAGAUGAUUUUUAUGUUGCUUUGAGAUUCUUUAAGAUUUAUGUAGAUAGAUGAAUAUUUGAAUUACUUUAAUAUCUAUAUAGAUGGAUGAAUAAUCAAAUGAUACAUUGAUCGUCUUGAGAUCUAUCCAGAUGAAUGAAUAUUGGAUUAUCCAUCACAUGAAUCUCAAAGUGCUCC